Molecule: non-coding RNA, 77 nt
Filed under: Calcidiscus leptoporus
Lineage: Eukaryota; Haptophyta; Coccolithales; Calcidiscaceae
Source: RNAcentral
CCCUUGCCCGUAGUGCGGCAAACAUUAGCCAAGAAAAAGCCCUGACAGAGUAAGGGCGGAAAGCCAGCAGGCCAAGG